This is a long non-coding RNA of Vespa velutina, 1652 nucleotides long. RefSeq lists it as uncharacterized. The transcript is spliced from 2 exons. Lineage: Eukaryota; Metazoa; Arthropoda; Insecta; Hymenoptera; Vespidae. The record is from RefSeq and is a predicted model, not a curated record.
UAAAAAGAACAACAUCUUGCAGUAAAAAAAAGUUUCCUUGAAAAUUAAUUUUAACAUAAAAUCUUUUAACGAGAAAAUAUUUAAAAAGAAAAUAUUAUCCCCUUACGAAUUGAAAUUCAUUAUUAAACCGCUAAACGAUAAGAUUAUACCGCUAACGAUUAUUACGCAUAACAAUAGCGAAUAUCGUCGAUUAUGAAAUGUUUUCACGAAGAAGCGUUAAUUCCCAUGACGUAAAUACAUACAUGAUGUUAUUUAAAAUAUUUAUCCUAAACUAUCAUAUGAAAGCUUAAUUUGUAAAAAAUUGAUAUAUCAGAAAUUUUGAUUUCCAUUGAAACGUUACUACUUGUCCCGCUGUACGUUUUCUUUUCUCUUUUUGUUUUUUGUUUCUUUUUUUUUUUUUUUUUUCGUUUUAAAACCGAACAACGACAAAGAACGCAUUACAAUAUUAUUCCAUUGACUGAUCUACAAAAGAAGUCUGUGAACUUUCGGGUCAUCUAUUCUACAUUUAUACGUUCCCUUUGUACGAAACUAAUAAAAGAAUGAAAAAAAAAGAAAGAAAGGAAACAAAAAUACAUACAUACAUAUAUAUAUAUAUAUAUAUAUAUAUAUAUAUAUAUAUGUAUAUAUAUGUAUAUAUAUAGUAAUUUCUCUCGAAAUGGAUGCAAAUAUAACAUGCGAUAGAAAUAAAUAUUACAAUUUCAUUGAUAAUAACUAUUAAAUUCGAAUUUAUGAUUUAUUUAUUAUUCGCUGAUUUCAUUAUCAUUAUUUCGUUUCGUUUUUCAUUUUCGCUUUCGUUUAACUUUUUUAUCUUCAUUAAAAAUAAAUAAAAACACAUGUUAAAAGCGUCGAUUAUUCCAUUUAAAUGUAUGCAUAUUAAAGAGAAAAAUUACGGAUAAGAAAAAGAAGGGGAAAGAGAAAUGAUAAAAAAAAAAAAAAAAAAAAAAAAAAAAAAAGGAAAGAAAAAAAUAUAAAAACAAAGAAAUUUUUUUGACCCACUUAAGAAUUCAAUUCAAAUCGAUAAAAUAUUAAAGACGACGACGACGACGACGACGACGACGACGACGACGAUUUAUUUACAAAUUCGCGUAUAGAUCGAAUCUCUUGUACGCUCCUGGGGCAUGCGCAUAAAUGGAUUUGUUAGGAGUACGAAGAAGUGUGAUCGUGGAACAGUAAGCGACAUGUUAGAUACAUAUGAUAUUUUUCUCUUUCUGUUCUGUAUUUAUAAAUAAAAUAGAAAUGGCGCAUAAAUAUACAUAUAUGUAGAUCGGGGUGAUCGAUAAAGAGAGAAGAAGAAGAAGAAGAAGAAGAAGAAGAAGAAGAAGAAGAAGAAGAAGAAGAAGAAGAGGAAGAAGAAGAAGGAGGAGGAGGAGGAGGGAAGAAAAAAAAAAAAAGAGGAAAGAGAAAAAAAAAGGAAACAUGUGAUGGGUCAUUGUUGUGAAGCAAUGAGGCCGAGGACGAGGACGAGGACGAGGAAGAGGACGUGGAAGAGAAGGCCGGCAACCCUCGCAGUACAGGUAUCGUCGCGUUGCUGUAUACACGUAUCAUCAUUGGAAAGCUCCUCUCUUCUCUCAUUCUAAACUGACAUCCUCAUAGAAUCGAUAUUGUCGUGAGAGUUAUAUUUUGAGAGAGAGAGAGAGAGAGAGAGAGAGAGA